Molecule: ribosomal RNA, 547 nt
Filed under: uncultured bacterium
Lineage: Bacteria
Description: bacterial SSU rRNA
Rfam family: Bacterial small subunit ribosomal RNA
Source: RNAcentral
UGGGGAAUAUUGCGCAAUGGGGGGAACCCUGACGCAGCCAUGCCGCGUGAAUGAAGAAGGCCUUAGGGUUGUAAAGUUCUUUCGGUAUUGAGGAAGGUUGAUGUGUUAAUAGCACAUCAAAUUGACGUUAAACACAGAAGAAGCACCGGCUAACUCCGUGCCAGCAGCCGCGGUAAUACGGAGGGUGCGAGCGUUAAUCGGAAUAACUGGGCGUAAAGGGCACGCAGGCGGUUAUUUAAGUGAGGUGUGAAAGCCCCGGGCUUAACCUGGGAAUUGCAUUUCAGACUGGGUAACUAGAGUACUUUAGGGAGGGGUAGAAUUCCACGUGUAGCGGUGAAAUGCGUAGAGAUGUGGAGGAAUACCGAAGGCGAAGGCAGCCCCUUGGGAAUGUACUGACGCUCAUGUGCGAAAGCGUGGGGAGCAAACAGGAUUAGAUACCCUGGUAGUCCACGCUGUAAACGCUGUCGAUUUGGGGGUUGGGGUUUAACUCUGGCGCCCGUAGCUAACGUGAUAAAUCGACCGCCUGGGGAGUACGGCCGCAAGGUUA